UUUCUUUGUAUCCCAGGCUGGAUCACCACUUGCUGCCACCUCAAACUCCUGGGCUCAAAGGAUUCUCCCACCUCAGCCUUCCAGGUAGUUGGGACUACAGGCACACGCCACCACACUCAGCUUUUUAUUUUUGGUAGAGAUGGGGGGUCUUGCCAUCUUGCCUAGACUAGUUUGAAACUCCUGGGCUCAAGCGAUCCUCCUGCCUUGGCUUCCUAAAGUGCUGGGAUUCCUGGUGUGGGCCACCAUGCCUAGCCUAGAAUAGGAUUCUACAAGUAUAUAUUUUUAUUUGCAACUAAGAGGGUCCUUUACAGUACAACAUCAUAGGCUAAAACAAUUUCUACAAAAUUCAGUGAAACCAUCUUUUGUGAUGCCAGUUGGCACCCACUGGUAUUGUAAGAUACCAUUUAGUAAUCUACCAGAUGACUAUCAAGCAAUACCUUGCUCCAGACAUAGUUCAUCAUUGUCCUAAAUAUAAUUUAACAUCCUGUAAAUAUACCUACUGUCCUGGGUUUCCACUGAGCUACUGACAAGAAAGCUGGAUUUAGUAAAGAGAAACAAAUGGACUUGAAAGUUCUUUUGUCCUUAUUCAUUCCUGAACAUGCUAGAGGUGAGACCACAAGAGUUUGUGUAGCAGUAAAAGAUCAUUCUCACAAUACAGGUUCAGAAUUUAGAAGACACCCUGCAGAAUGUAAACCUGCAAAUGUCCCGGAUGAAAUCUGACCUACGAGUGACUCAGCAGGAAAAGGAGGCUUUAAAACAAGAAGUGAUGUCUUUACAUAAGCAACUUCAGAAUGCUGGUGGCAAGAGCUGGGCCCCAGAAAUAGCUGCUCAUCCAUCAGGGCUCCAUAACCAGCAGAAAAGGCUGUCCUGGGACAAGUUGGAUCAUCUGAUGAAUGAGGAACAGCAGCUGCUUUGGCAAGA
Molecule: small RNA, 921 nt
Filed under: Pan troglodytes (chimpanzee)
Lineage: Eukaryota; Metazoa; Chordata; Mammalia; Primates; Hominidae
Description: retained intron
Source: RNAcentral